Gymnothorax javanicus (giant moray) is the source of this 73-nucleotide non-coding RNA. The record is from the annotation of a GenBank genome assembly. NCBI's taxonomy places the organism in Eukaryota, Metazoa, Chordata, Actinopteri, Anguilliformes, Muraenidae.
GGCUCUCUGGCGAUGUGGUUAGCGCGGGUGACUCUUACCCGGGAGUCUGAGGUUCAAUUCCUUGCCUGGGCCC